This is a long non-coding RNA of Pogona vitticeps (central bearded dragon), 1897 nucleotides long. Ensembl annotates it as urokinase plasminogen activator surface receptor-like. The record is from Ensembl. NCBI's taxonomy places the organism in Eukaryota, Metazoa, Chordata, Lepidosauria, Squamata, Agamidae.
AUGAGGCCGUACGUGUAUCUUGGGAUCAUCCUCUUUUGUCUUCACACAGCCAAUAGCUUGAGGUGCGCAAAGUGUGUGAGCAAGAAAGGAAACUGCAAUGAGACCGAAGUGGAAGCGUGCAGUUCAUAUCAAGAUGCUUGUUUCUUUGAAGUUAAGGAUUUUAUUGGUGUGAGCGGAACGACUGUGAAACGGGGUUGCACCACUGCAAACUAUUGCCGCCGCUACCCUGGAGGGUAUAAGGGACAUCUGGACCGGACAAUGUAUUGCUGCUCUUCGGACCUCUGCGAACCUGUGGAUUAUCACCACAGCCACACCGGAGCAGAAAACAGCAUGGCGUGCCAGAGCUGUAUUGGAAACGAAGCAGAAUGCGGCCAAAACGCUUGGUCAGAGCCGUGCCAUGGGAAUGCCGAUCGGUGUAUACAGAUUUCCCAGCGCUUCCUCCCAGGUGAAGAACUAGAACCCAUUAUAAAAGGAUGUGGAGACAGUUCCUUUAGGGACACUCUGGUGGCUUACCAGAUCGGGAAAGAUUUCGCCUAUGUUGAGCAAAACGUCUGCGGUCUGAGGAACUGUAACAACAGGAGUUUCCCAGACAUAUCUCCUGGACAACCGAACGGAUUAAAGUGCUACACCUGUCGAGAGACAGGGAAGGGGGAGUGUGACCGUGAGAGGCUGCAGCUUUUGAACUGCACCGGGAUCAUGGAUCGGUGUGUGCACAUCAUAAGCAAAGGUAAAAAACUGACAGUAGACAGUGGUGGCUUUCACCCCACGGGAUUUGCAGUACAGCAGAUGGAAAGGGGAGUCAGAGUCGGUACUUCGAAGAGUUGGUCUGAAAGGGGUGGGUGGGAAAUGGGCCACCUUUGUUGGAUGUCACUAUUUGGUGUACCCGUUAGGCCCUAAAUAUUGACAUAGGAAUACCCUUUUAGAAAACGGCUAGAACUGGAAGUGAACUGGCAAACUAAAGCCAGAACAUAGACUCAUUCAGAGAGGCAGUGUGUAGACUCUGCUGCAUGUGUUUGUGUGUGUAGGCAUCAUCUUGACAAAUAAGAGCCAUCAGCCUAUCUCCUUAACAGAUGGAAGGUGCUUGACUACUCACACAGCCCCCCACUCCCUGCAUUUUGGGGAAGGGCAUUCUCAACCAAUCCACAGCCCACUAUUGCUUUAAAUGUAGUCUGUAGUGCACUACAAUUCCCAUGAGCCUUCGCCAGCUUAGUCAAUGUGGAGGGCUCAUGGGCAUCAUGGUCACACUUGUCUAGAGAGCACCAUGUGAGGGGUGGCGGGCACAUGGAUGCCACUGUAGUGGCGGGCACAUGGGGCGCUAAAUAACCAGGCAAUGUUUGCAAAAGGCAAUGCAAGACGUUGAAAGAGUGUUAUGAACGCUGGCUGUUUUUCUCCUUCUCCAGACCGUGACGUGCCGACAACUAUCCAGAAGGGUUGUGCCACAGAGUCGAUGUGCACCAGCUAUUCCGAUAUCUAUUAUAAGCUGAUGAGGCAGGAUUCGUACCCUACCUGCUGCAAGAAGUCCUUCUGCAACCGAGCAGGAGAUCAUUCUGGUCCAGAGAGGCUGCUGGCAGUGGCGGGUGUUGUCCUGUGGCUGGCGCUGAUGGCUGGGAAAUAGCUGGAGUUUGCUGGAUCAUCCUUCUUUUAAAAAAGCUUGAUGACCCUGGGUGCUUAAAGCUGCCCGGGUGAAAUCGAUUGUUGGCAUUUGGCACAUCUACAAGUCACUGUGACAGUUGCACUACUUAGUGUAGGUAUUGGAUACUGAGAUAGAUAUAUAAUGGGCAACAUUUCACGUGCACAAAGAGAAAGGGGACAAGAUGGAAAAGAAGCUUAGAAAUGUCCUGUGGAAAGUCACGACUUUCUGCAGGGUUCAUUCUGCCCACUAGAGGGCCGCAAAACC